RNAcentral lists this ribosomal RNA (433 nucleotides) under uncultured bacterium. Its description in RNAcentral is "partial 16S ribosomal RNA". It matches the Rfam family "Bacterial small subunit ribosomal RNA", at positions 29 to 507 of the family's 1533-position model. The record is from RNAcentral.
AGCGAACGCUGGCGGCAGGCCUAACACAUGCAAGUCGAACGAACUCUUCGGAGUUAGUGGCGGACGGGUGAGUAACACGUGGGAACGUGCCUUUAGGUUCGGAAUAACUCAGGGAAACUUGUGCUAAUACCGAAUGUGCCCUUCGGGGGAAAGAUUUAUCGCCUUUAGAGCGGCCCGCGUCUGAUUAGCUAGUUGGUGAGGUAAAGGCUCACCAAGGCGACGAUCAGUAGCUGGUCUGAGAGGAUGAUCAGCCACAUUGGGACUGAGACACGGCCCAAACUCCUACGGGAGGCAGCAGUGGGGAAUCUUGCGCAAUGGACGAAAGCCUGACGCAGCCAUGCCGCGUGAAUGAUGAAGGUCUUAGGAUUGUAAAAUUCUUUCACCGGGGACGAUAAUGACGGUACCCGGAGAAGAAGCCCCGGCUAACUUCGUG